RNAcentral lists this ribosomal RNA (386 nucleotides) under uncultured Bicosoecida. Its description in RNAcentral is "partial small subunit ribosomal RNA". It matches the Rfam family "Eukaryotic small subunit ribosomal RNA", at positions 30 to 432 of the family's 1831-position model. The record is from RNAcentral. Lineage: Eukaryota; Bigyra; Bicosoecida.
GCUUGUCUCAAAGAUUAAGCCAUGCAUGUUCAAGUAUAGCAAGUGUACAGUGAAACUGCGAAUGGCUCAUUAUAUCAGUUAUAGUUUAUUUGAUAGUCCCUGCUAUUUGGAUAACCGUAGUAAUUCUAGAGCUAAUACAUGCACAAAGCAGCCCUCACGGGUUGUGUAUUUAUUAGAUACAAUCAGCCCCCUCGGGGUCAUGAUGAAUCAUAAUAACUGAACUAAGCGCAUGCUUUGGCGGCGCUGUUUCAUUCAAGUUUCUGCCCUAUCAGCUUUCGAUGGUAGGGUAUUGGCCUACCAUGGCGUUAACGGGUAACGGAGAAUUAGGGUUCGAUUCCGGAGAGGGAGCCUGAGAGAUGGCUACCACAUCCAAGGAAGGCAGCAGG